UACGUAGGGGGCGAGCGUUGUCCGGAGUUACUGGGCGUAAAGCGCACGCAGGCGGUCUGCUAAGUUUGGAGUGACAGUUGGUGGCUUAACUGCCAAAGUGCUUCGAAAACUGACAGACUUGAGGGCUUCAGAGGGACACGGAAUUCCGGGUGGAGUGGUGAAAUGCGUAGAGAUCCGGAGGAACACCAAAGGCGAAGGCAGUGUCCUGGGGAGUACCUGACGCUCGGGUGCGAAAGCCAGGGGAGCGAACGGG
This 253-nucleotide ribosomal RNA is filed under the name uncultured bacterium. RNAcentral's name for it is "partial 16S ribosomal RNA". It matches the Rfam family "Bacterial small subunit ribosomal RNA", at positions 524 to 776 of the family's 1533-position model. The record is from RNAcentral.